UCCAGACUCCUACGGGAGGCAGCAGUGGGGAAUAUUGCACAAUGGGGGAAACCCUGAUGCAGCAACGCCGCGUGAGUGAAGAAGUCAUUCGUGAUGUAAAGCUCUAUCAGCAGGGAAGAAAAUGACGGUACCUGACUAAGAAGCCCCGGCUAACUACGUGCCAGCAGCCGCGGUAAUACGUAGGGGGCAAGCGUUAUCCGGAUUUACUGGGUGUAAAGGGAGCGUAGACGGCGACGCAAGUCUGAAGUGAAAUGCCAGUGCUCAACACUGGAACUGCUUUGGAAACUGUGUGGCUAGAGUGCAGGAGAGGUAAGUGGAAUUCCUAGUGUAGCGGUGAAAUGCGUAGAUAUAUGGAAGAACACCAGUGGCGAAAGCGGCUCUCUGGUCUGUAACUGACGCUGAGGUUCGAAAGCGUGGGUAGCAAACAGGAUUAGAUACCCUUGUAC
This 446-nucleotide ribosomal RNA is filed under the name uncultured bacterium. Its description in RNAcentral is "bacterial SSU rRNA". It matches the Rfam family "Bacterial small subunit ribosomal RNA", at positions 330 to 793 of the family's 1533-position model. The record is from RNAcentral.